This is a long non-coding RNA of Pogoniulus pusillus (Red-fronted tinkerbird), 220 nucleotides long. RefSeq lists it as uncharacterized. The record is from RefSeq and is a predicted model, not a curated record. Lineage: Eukaryota; Metazoa; Chordata; Aves; Piciformes; Lybiidae. The transcript is spliced from 3 exons.
GGUAGUGGAAGCCUGUGGAGGGUGAACUAAAAAUACUCAGGAACCAAUGAAAUGCACAGCAAAUGCACAGUAUGCAAAGGAAUAUUUGUGUUUGCUAAGAGAAAUGAUGCAGUCCUGUUCUCCUCAAUCCAGGGUAAAAUGAGCAACAUGAACUAUAAGCAAUCUUAGAGCAUUAUGUCUCCCUCAUCCUUCUACCAAGAUCUGACCAGUAAAACUGCUC